Molecule: long non-coding RNA, 1669 nt
Filed under: Panax ginseng (ginseng)
Lineage: Eukaryota; Viridiplantae; Streptophyta; Magnoliopsida; Apiales; Araliaceae
Description: long non-coding RNA (PGIN_LNC003222)
Source: RNAcentral
AAAAAUUAACAAAGUAAAUUAAAAAAAUAAACCAAAACAACAUUCGCAACAAAACCCUCUCCCUCUCCUCUCCCUUUCUGCGCCUCUCCCUCUCUGCGUCUCCCUCUGCUUCAACACCUCUCUACACGCCCUCUCUCCUUGCCAUAAAAUUCUCACACUCCGACCAACGUCGCCGCCAAUUCGCUGGAAUCAUUGCAGAAUCCGCCGGAACCAUGGCUGAGAACGGUGUUGCAAUCCCAUCUCUGCUAGUGCUGCCGUGGCCCGUGAGCAUGGUGUCUCUAUGUUAUCUGACUCUCUCCUGGUAACGAAAACGGUUACACUGUUUUAGUAUUGAAAUUUGUUUUUUGUUUUUGUUUUUUUAUUCAAGUAAUUCAUAUGAGGUUUCAAUGUCAAUGAAUACUCUAGUGAUUGCUUUGUUUGCUGAAUUGGGUGUACCUGUGAUGAGUUUUAGGGUUAUUGCAAUAGAUAAUCAUUAUUAACUCUGUUAAUGUGAACUUAUGCCUGUGAUGUGUUUGUUUAAAUGUCUGUGAAGAAUUUGCUUGAUGCUGUUGGCCAUUUUUCGUCUAAUUUCUCCAAGAUGAUAAGUAGAUUUGUACUGAUGAAUCAAGUUGGCAUUGACAUUCGUUGCUUUGAACCCCAAUUUGAGUGAGCGUAUAACCAUUGGCUUGGCAUAUUGCUCAUGAAUAUUUUACACUCUGCCAUCAUACUCAAUUGUAUUGGUGAUCACCUUCACAUUGGUGGCUUAGUUUUAAUGCUGUAAUAUGGGGGACUAUUUUUGAUAUCUAAUUUACGUACAUUGAGCACAUGGAGCUUAGUGAGUUUAGAAUGAAUUACAAUACAUGUUACAGUGCUACAUUUCACCAUGAUUGACUGUGAAUAAAAACCAAACCUCAAGUUUGGGGGUGCCUUUGCAAAGACCGUUUAUAUGAAUAUGUUUUUUUGGGGUCAUUUUUGCAUUAUAUUAAUUGAGAUGUAUAUGGAUUUUAAAAUUUGUCUUCAAUCACCAUUGUCUUCAACCAAUCAACGUGUGCUUACUUAUGUGUCUGUGUGUUUAGUUUUAAAGAAUAUGCAUAAAUUUUAAAUUAAUGCAAUCAGAUGGACUUUCAAUAGCACAUUGCACACUAGCUAUUACUAAUUGAGGCAAACAUGUUCAUUUUAUGCUCAUUAUGCAGUUGUGUUUGUGAUUUGCUAACAUUUCAUUCUUUUUUUCCACCUUGACAGUGAAAUAGAAGAUACUGAUAAUGACAGUGAUGACAAUAAAGGUUGUGUUUGUGUUAUUCUUUGAACAUGUUCAAUCAACUUCUACUCUACAAUUUCAACAGCAACUAAAAUAAUGACAAGGGAGGCAAAACAAUUUAAUGGUUUUGAACUUCUACAUAUUCAUCAUAUGAAUAUGAAAUUGAAAAGGAGCUAUGUUGGGCUCAACAUUUAACAUUCAUUUACUUUGGUGCUGCUCAUCAGCUCUCCAAUCAAGAGUACUCCAAAAAAAAUUUGUACAUUAGAUGAUUAAUUUUCUAUUGUAAGAUAUCAAGCUAUUGUUUAUUUUGGAUAACUGUCAGUCUUAUGGAUAAUAAAAUUAUAAAAGAUGUAUAUGGAUUAGUGGAUGUUUUCUAAGGAUUUUACAUUAGUUUAACUUGGCAAGGGUAUUCCAGUUAAUAUUGUGUGUGUG